This 4093-nucleotide long non-coding RNA is filed under the name Homo sapiens (human). Its description in RNAcentral is "non-protein coding lnc-ARL14-2:2". The record is from RNAcentral. Lineage: Eukaryota; Metazoa; Chordata; Mammalia; Primates; Hominidae.
GGGGAAGCGAACGACGCUGGGAGGAGCCGGCUCCGGGCCCGGAGGGAGAGAUCUGAGCUUCGCUGUCUCCCGGUCGGACGCUCGCAGCUGCGUUCCCGGGCUGGGGCUCCGUGCCGUCCAGGGCCGGGUCUGGGGGCCAGGACCUGCUGGGAUGACGUGAGUUGAGGAGGCUCAGCGGAAAGCGACAGGAAAGGUGGGUGGAAAAGGAAAGGGCCCAUUAGACGAAUCUGAUUCAUCUUCUGUGACUAAGCACCCGCAACAGUUAGGAAUUUAGGCAGAGCUGGUGAUCCUGGGACAAUAGCACUUCCUAGGUAAUUCGUCUUAAAAAGUUAAAGAAGCUGCUUGACCACAAAGUAUGAACUUCUGGAGGGCGGGGCCCGUGGCAGCUGACAGGGAAUAUUGUGUGUUGAGAAAGGAAAUGAGUUCCAAGGAUACCAAGGACAACGUUACCAGAGGCAGAAAUGACACGAGAUACAAAAGAACGUAUUCAAAAAUUUAACAAAACAGAAAUGGAAAAUUAUUUUAAAAUAUAUUGAAAUAUCAACGAAUAACACCUCAAAUGUACAGGGAUAUGUAAAGCAGCAACUCGGGUCGGAAGCAAGGAAUCGAGGCGUUGGGUGUGUUUAAACUUGACGAGGUAGGGAGAAGAGACCCUGAUACAAACUCCUUCAGAAUCGUUGACUCUCGGUCCUUUCUAGUAUAUUUUUUUAGUAGAACAACGUGCAGAUAAGUGUUUAAAAUGCAGAUCUUCCUAAGGAAACACUUUUAAAGGCAACAGAGGGGAAUUUUUUUUUAAGUUAAAAUGGAAGAAGUUAGUGGGUUUAACAGAUAUGAACAACUGAGUUUCCUUUGGGGGAGAGGCAAUGAAAAGAGCCGGAGUACUUUAGGGAUCACUUUGGAGAGGAUAUUGUAGUGGGGGAAAGGAAGGUAAAAACUUAGGAAGCAGAGUAGUACCUUUAAAGUCGUCAGUACUUUAUAUACCAUCAACUGGGCUAUGGACAACAGAAGCUGUGCCUGGAAAUAACUCACACUGAAGGUUAACUUGAAUAUAAAUUUAGAACAGAUCUUAAAUACAAAUGAUGAUGUUCAUUAUAAACUGUUAUUCUUCAAAGACUCAUUUAACUGAAGUAACAUUGUAUUUGCAUACCAGAGCACUGGUGUUUUUCAAAAUGAGUUUAGGAUAAGAAAAUUCACUUGAAAAGCUGGAGUAUGUAUGUAUUUUGCGCCAUCAUGGAUUUUAUCAUAAGCAGUGUUCAAGAAAACAAAUUACCAGCGAAUUCCCACCCUAUGAGUAAAAGUUAUCUUGUCAACAUAUCAAUAGAUGAACAUUUUGUACUUCUUGGAAUACAUUUCAUGGUAGCUUUCAUGAUGAAGUUUAUAGACGUGUCUGUUAUAUGUCUUCAUGUCUCCAGCUACAACUGAGUGUCUCUGAUGAUUAAACAACAACCCGAGUUUUCUCUCUGCAGAAGACUCCUAAAAAAGAGUUGUAAUUAGUUACCAGCUGAGAAAGAUGCAAUACAAAUAGGAAAUAACCGCAAUUUAUAAUUUUAUUUAUCUAAAAUCUGUCUUCCUCCCUAGACAGUAAGCUCUCUGAAGUCAAGAACCAUAGUUGUUUUGUUCACUACUGUAUACUCAGCACCUAAUAGUACUUGGCACAUAAGUACUCAGGGACUAUUUGUCAAAUGCAAGAACAUAUGCCCCUAAAGCAGAAGUCAGGAAAACCAGAAAAAAUGCCUUUAAGUAUUACAGAAAUGCCACAGGCCUCCACUUAAAUUGAAAAGCAAGCUAACCCCUCUUGAUAAAAAUGUGGAUUGAGAUCAAGAAGCAGCUUCUCUGCUCCUUCUGGAAUCUCCACCUGGUUUAGCCUGCUGCCUCCACUCCUGCCUCCACCAUGUCCAUCAGGGUGAUCCAGAAGUCCUACAAGGUGUCCACCUUUGGCCCCCAGGCUUUCAGCAGCCACCCCUACACUAGUGGGCCCAGUGCCUGCACCAGCUCCUUGAGCUUCUCCCUAGUGGGGAGCUUCACUGUGCAGCUUCUGGGGUGGCCUGGGCGGAGGCUAUGGUGGGGCCAGCAGUAUGCGAGGCAUCACCACCAUCACGGUAAACCAGAGCCUGCUGAGCCCCCUUAACCUGGAGGUGGACUCCAACAUCCAGGCUGUAUACACCCAGGAGAAGGAGCAGAUCAAGACCCUCAACAACAAGUUUGCCUCCUUCACAGACCAGGUAUGGUUCCUGGAGCAGCAGAACAAGGUGCUGGAGACCAAGUGGAGCCUUCUGCAGCAGCACAAGAUGGCUGGGAGCAACAUGGACAACAUGUUCGGGAGCUAUAUCAACAACCUUAGGCGGCUGCUGGAGCCAGGAGAAGCUGAGGCUGGAAGCGGAGCUUGGCAACAUGCAGGGGCUGGUGGAGGACUUCAGGAACAAGUAUGAGGAUGAGAUCAAUAAGCCUACAGAGAUGGAGAAUUAAUUUGUCCUCAUCAAGAAGGAUGUGGAUGAAACUUACAUGAACAACGUAGAGCUGGAGUCUCACCUGGAAGGGCCGACUGUAUGAAGUGGAGAUCCGGGAGCUGCAGUCCCAGAUCUCCAACAUGUCUGUGGUGCUGUCCAUGGACAGCAGCCACUCCUGGACAUGGACAGCAUCAUCACUGAGGUAAAGAGGCAGUACAAGGAGGUUGCCAACUGCAGCCGGGCUGAGGCUGAGAGCACGUACCAGAUCAAGUAUGUGGAGCUGCAGACGCUGGCUAGGAAGCACAGGGAUGACCUGCGGCAUACAAAGACUCAGAUCUCCAAGAUGAACCGGAACAUCAGCCAGCUCCAGGCUGAGAUUGAGGGCCUCCAAGGCCAGGGGGCUUCCCUGGAGGCCACCAUCCCAGAUGCUGAGCAUCGUGGGGAGCUGGCCGUUAAGGAUGCCAAUGCCAAGCUCUCCAAGCUGGAGGCCACUCUGCAACGUGUGAGUACCAGGAGCUGAUGAAAGUCAAGCUGGCCUGGAAAUGGAGGUCGCCACCUACAGAAAGCUGCGGGAGAGCUAGGAGAGCCAGCUGGAGUCUGGGAUGCAGAACAUGAGUAUCCAUACGAAGACCACCAGCGGCUAUGCAGGUGAUCUGAGCUCGGCCUAUGUGGGCCUCACAACUCGUGACCUCAGCUAUGGCCUGGGCUCCAGCUUUGGCUCUGGCACAGGCUUCAGCUCCUUCAGGUGCACCAGCUCCACCAGGGCCGUGGUUGUGAAGAAGAUCGAGACCCGCGAUGGGAAGCUGGUGUCUGAGUCCUCUGACUUCCUGCCCAAGUGAACAACUGUGGCAGCUCCUCCUAGUCUGCCCCUCCCGUGGCUGCCACAGACUCCAGGAGGGAGGCUGCUGUGUGGGGAAGCACAGACAACAGGAGACCCCCCACCUGAGGCUCAACCCACCCGUGGGGGAGUUUACUGUCUGGGGACCCCCCUUGCCCAUGCUUCCAGCUAGAAAACAAUUGUGGUUUUUUUUUUGGUCCAAAAUAAAACCUCAGCUAGCUCCACCACAAAAAAAAAAAAAAAAAUUGUGGAUUGAGUCGUUAUUGCUUCUAGUUUACUGAGUUCCUUCUAUUUAUAUAAAUUCUUGAUUUGAUAUCAAGCUCAUUCUGGGGUGAAAGUUUAGGGAAUAAAUCAGACAUACAUUUCAGGGCAAAACCCCCUAUGUAUUUAAAAGUAGUUGUGACACACUUCGUUAAACAAUUAUCCUUAAUUAUAAUUCUUAGUCUAUUGGCUUAAAUUUAUUACUUGAAAUUGUCACUACUCGUUUGCCAAGUUUACAUGUUUAGUGUCUAUACUUACAGUUCUUCCCAGAUAGAAGAUACAUAAUUUAUCAAAUGGGCAAAGAAGUCCUUCAGGGAGUUGGUAAUAGCUCUACAUGCUGAUUGGUAAUUGAAUUAGCAAGAUAUGGUAGAUCUAACUGAUUAGAAGGUUUCAAUUUAACUUGCUGAACUAAGGAAGUAAAAUGCAGAAUUAUUAACCAUUUCAAUAUUAUCUUAAUUUGGGAUGUGAUAAUUAAUUACCACAAACUGAGUGGCUUAAACAAACAUUUAUUUCUCACAGUUAGGGAGGACGUGAAGUCCAUUAUUAA